GAUGAAGAACGUAGCGAAAUGCGAUAAGUAAUGUGAAUUGCAGAUUUCAGUGAAUCAUCGAAUCUUUGAACGCACCUUGCGCCUUGUGGUAUUCCACAAGGCAUGCCCGUUUGAGUAUCAUUAAAUCAUCAACUCUAAAACCUUUGUGGUUUUUUUAGAGCUUGGUCUUGAGGGUUUUGCAGGCUUUUUUUUUCGAGUCUGCUCCCUUUAAAUGCAUUAGCGAGACUUCCCUAUGCUGAACCGUCUCUUUGACGUGAUAAUUAUCUGCGUCGAAUUUUGGUUCUCGUUGGGCUUGUUUCUAAUCGUCUGUUAAAGACAAAACGGAUUUGGGUGCAUAUAUGCGCCUUUUUCCAAAACCUUUUUUGAUCUCAAAUCGGGUAGGACUACCCGCUGAACUUAAGCAUAUCAAUAAGCGGAGGA
Molecule: unclassified non-coding RNA, 420 nt
Filed under: soil metagenome
Description: partial contains 5.8S ribosomal RNA, internal transcribed spacer 2, and large subunit ribosomal RNA
Rfam family: 5.8S ribosomal RNA (bases 1-120)
Source: RNAcentral